UCUCUGUCUCUGUCUCUGUCUCUGUCUCUCUCCCAUGUUUGAUUCAUUAGAAAGUUCUGAUUUUACCUUCAUAAACUCUCUCCCAUAUGUUCCCUUCUCUUCUCUGACGCUGCUACUGCUCUAGUACAGGCCCUUGAUACCUCCAGCCUGGAGUAUUGCAACACCCUUAGAGUUGGUCUCCCUGCCUCCAGUCUCCCCUGACCCAGUCUGCCCUUCACUCACCUAUCAAACUGAUUUUCCUAAAGCACCAGUCUGGCCACAUCUGUCCCCUACUCAAUAAGCUCAAGGGGGCGCCAGGAUCAAAUGUAAAGUCCUAUCUGGCUUCUGAGCUCCUUUGGAUCUGCCCUUUUCUAUCUUUCUAGCCUUCAACCUCCCUGAUGUUGCUCACACAUGCUGUCUCCCAGCUUUGAAUGUCUUUACGGACCCCCCCCCAAGCCUGGAACACCCUCCCUCUUCAUCUCUGGCACCCAGCUUCUUUCAAGUCCCAGCUACAAUCUCCCCUUCUACAAGAAACCUUUCCUGAUUCCUGUCAUGCCAGGGCCUUCCCUUGGAGUUUAUCUCCAAUUUAGCUCCUCCAGAGCUCACCAGUACAUAGCUGUUGGCAUAUUAUCUCCCCUACCCUUGGACUGGGAGCUCCUUGAGAGCAGAGAUUAUCUUUUGCCUUUCUUUGGAUCCCCAGGCACAUACUUGAUAAACGCUCUUUGACUGACUAAUCACCAUCUGUAAAAUCAAGUUAAACUAGAAGGUCUUUUAAUGUCCCUUUCAGAUCCAAACCUAUUAUUUUAUGACUUAUACUAUCACACUUCCAGAGGUGUUGAAAGGCUUAAAUGAGAAUUGCAGGAAACACUUUCUGAGAAUAGAACCACGCUUUUUAAUUACAGAUUCCUAAAUCCAGCAUUCUUCAGUUUAUUCUAGAAUUCACUGGUUGGGGCAGGGUGGCACAGGAAGUGAUUGACUCCUGUGGUCUGUACCCAGGCCCUGGCCUUCAUCUGCCCAUCUGGAGGAACUGCAACUUCUGCCCUCGGGAUAGUAAGUUUUCUGAGGGAGGAUGCUUUCAACCUGGAUGACUUUGGAAGCAAGUCAUCUAACCUCCAUGGACCUGGACUUCUUCUUUGGCACCGGGAGGAGAUUGGAUCAGUGGCCUCUUGGGAACCUUCAAGCAAGGAUAUCAUAAACUGUGAGAGGCUUUGGCAAAUGCCUGGCUGAAAUCCAGCAUGCUAUAUGAGCAGAGAGUACAUCCCAUCACACAGAGGGCCCCACUGGGAUGGUUGUGGCGCAGACCUCCCUCCUGAGGAUCAGUGAGAAGAAGAAACCUGAUUAACGAAAGCUAAUCGAGGAUAAAGAAACGUAUUGGAAGUGGGUACAGAGAAAGGAGUCAGGGGAAGAGAGAAGGGCCAGGGGAAGAGUUGAACAAGGGAGAACCAGGCUCUCUCUAGCUCCAGACAAUCAGCUUUAUGAAUCACCAAGUAAAUCUUCAACCUUCAAAAGGGCAGCCAGCUCCUUGGGAUCUCAAUGCGUAGAUAGAAGAGGGAGAUGCCUGAAGUCCAAGAAUGAAGAAUUUGAAAGGGAAAUGUCUUCUCUUGCAUCCAGUACAGCCUCACUGCCAGACUCCUCCAGGAUCCCAUAUGGGAAGCCCAGUGUGUCCUCUAUACCUCCUAUGAUUUUGCCCAGCUUAUUUUUAAACAGGCCAAGGGAGACAGCUUCCAAAACCUCACAUGGGCCCUCAGUCUCCAUUUAAAGCAUCAGUGAAGUCCCCAGAUAGUGUGUCCCAAUAUACUCUGCAUUUUGUUUCAUCCUAGUCCUCCCAGGUGUGGUAUCAGACUGGAGAAUUUCUCUUCUUCCUCUGAAUGUUUGCCAGAUGGCAAAGCAUGGAUUUAGCAUGGGGGUAGGGGAACAAGAGGAUGGGGUUGGAACAGAGAUUAAAGGGAGAGAAGGAAAUUAACUGUGGAGGAAAAGGUUUACGUGCACCCUAAAAUAAACCAAAAAAAGGACCACAUUUAAUCCCAUUACUCUCCCACUUCUGACGGCCAUUGGUUUUAAUAUGAACCCCCCUCCCUUGUACAUCCCCUGUUUCUGCCCCAGAUUUUUAUUCUUCCCAGCUUCAGCUGGCAGUGAGAAGAUUUGCCAAGAUGUUCCUGGCUGGACCACCAAUUUUAGCAGAGGUUGAAUGAGCCUUCUCAGUCACCUUCAACAUUAUCCAUACCACUUAAUUACAAUUUGUGUGGUACAGAUAUUGUACCCAUUUUACAGAUUAGGAAACUGACAUAGAAUAGCUAAGUGACUUGUCUAUAAUCACACAAGUAAUUAUUGACAGAACUAUUGUACAAUGCAUAGGCAGCUAGGUGAUUCAGUGGACAGAGAGCUGGGCCUGGAAUC
Molecule: long non-coding RNA, 2376 nt
Organism: Phascolarctos cinereus (koala)
Lineage: Eukaryota; Metazoa; Chordata; Mammalia; Diprotodontia; Phascolarctidae
Source: RefSeq, a predicted model, not a curated record